This 78-nucleotide transfer RNA is filed under the name Verrucomicrobiaceae bacterium. RNAcentral's name for it is "tRNA-Leu". It matches the Rfam family "tRNA". From Rfam's summary of the family: Transfer RNA (tRNA) molecules are approximately 80 nucleotides in length. Lineage: Bacteria; Pseudomonadati; Verrucomicrobiota; Verrucomicrobiia; Verrucomicrobiales; Verrucomicrobiaceae. The record is from RNAcentral.
AGUGGCGGAACUGGUAGACGCGCUGGAUUUAGGUUCCAGUGAGAGAUCGUGGGGGUUCGAUUCCCUCCUGGCGCACCA